AUGGCAGGAAAUGACAUUGUGAAGGAGUUGGCAGCUUCACGACACCACUCGAUUAUAGAUCAAGAACUCAUAAGUAUCAAUGGAAUUGGCCGUCUCUGCAGUUGGGAUAGGUCUUCGGCCGGUGGACUUGCUGUACUUUUUGCUGGAGUGGGAUUUUUCUGUGGUACGGCUGGUGCUAUGACAACUGAAAUCGGCAUACCUUUUGCUGGGGUGCAGGUCCUGUGUGGUGGGGCUAGUGGUGUGGCCAGUGAAGUAUGGGCACAGUCUGCUGGAGUCGGUCCUACGUUUUGUGUCACUGGUUGUACAACCAAUAUAAGUGGGGUGCUGUCUGAUUUCUUCGGCACAACCAUGUUUUUCAAGGACUUUGCUGGUGCUCCUUCUGAUGGAAUAUGUAUUGAUAAUGGAUGGGCAUGGCAUCUCGACAUAUAUGAUGAGUAA
This 438-nucleotide ribosomal RNA is filed under the name Triticum aestivum (bread wheat). RNAcentral describes it as "partial small subunit ribosomal RNA". Lineage: Eukaryota; Viridiplantae; Streptophyta; Magnoliopsida; Poales; Poaceae. The record is from RNAcentral.